AUUGAACGCUGGCGGCAUGCUUUACACAUGCAAGUCGAACGGCAGCGCGGGCUUCGGCCUGGCGGCGAGUGGCGAACGGGUGAGUAAUACAUUGGAACGUGCCCAGUAGUGGGGGAUAGCUCGGCGAAAGCCGGAUUAAUACCGCAUACGACCUGAGGGUGAAAGCGGGGGAUCUUCGGACCUCGCGCUAUUGGAGCGGCCGAUGGCAGAUUAGCUAGUUGGUGGGGUAAAGGCCUACCAAGGCGACGAUCUGUAGCUGGUCUGAGAGGACGACCAGCCACACUGGGACUGAGACACGGCCCAGACUCCUACGGGAGGCAGCAGUGGGGAAUUUUGGACAAUGGGCGAAAGCCUGAUCCAGCAAUGCCGCGUGUGUGAUGAAGGCCUUCGGGUUGUAAAGCACUUUUGGCGGGAACGAAAAGGACUGUGCCAAUACCACGGUUCGAUGACGGUACCCGCAGAAUAAGCACCGGCUAACUACGUG
RNAcentral lists this ribosomal RNA (484 nucleotides) under uncultured bacterium. RNAcentral describes it as "partial 16S ribosomal RNA". It matches the Rfam family "Bacterial small subunit ribosomal RNA", at positions 29 to 507 of the family's 1533-position model. The record is from RNAcentral.